This is a long non-coding RNA of Alligator sinensis (Chinese alligator), 291 nucleotides long. RefSeq lists it as uncharacterized. Lineage: Eukaryota; Metazoa; Chordata; Crocodylia; Alligatoridae. The record is from RefSeq and is a predicted model, not a curated record. The transcript has 4 exons.
GACCCAGGACCAUAGAGCUUGGGAAGGAACCACCCUGCAGACUGCCUGAGAAGUGAACCUGCCCUUAGUGAUGGGGAGAAGACAACCUGUAUCCGCUCCCCACACCCACUGCAACCCACCGUCAUGGUGUUCAGCACUGCUCAGCACAGUGGCAUCAGCAGAAUGAAACGUGACAAUUAGUCAAGGUGGAUGCUGCCUGCCAGACCAUUCCCCCAGACUACGAAGUAUCCCUGAACACUAUGGACAUCAGAGAUAGAAUAUUUUCAAUAUUGAUACUAUCAAGAAGCCACC